GCUCAGAUUGAACGCUGGCGGCAGGUCUAACACAUGCAAGUCGAACGGUAACAGGAAGAAGCUUGCUUCUUUGCUGACGAGUGGCGGACGGGUGAGUAAUGUCUGGGAAACUGCCUGAUGGAGGGGGAUAACUACUGGAAACGGUAGCUAAUACCGCAUAACGUCGCAAGACCAAAGAGGGGGACCUUCGGGCCUCUUGCCAUCGGAUGUGCCCAGAUGGGAUUAGCUAGUAGGUGGGGUAACGGCUCACCUAGGCGACGAUCCCUAGCUGGUCUGAGAGGAUGACCAGCCACACUGGAACUGAGACACGGUCCAGACUCCUACGGGAGGCACCAGUA
RNAcentral lists this ribosomal RNA (338 nucleotides) under uncultured bacterium. Its description in RNAcentral is "bacterial SSU rRNA". It matches the Rfam family "Bacterial small subunit ribosomal RNA", at positions 22 to 356 of the family's 1533-position model. The record is from RNAcentral.